Molecule: ribosomal RNA, 441 nt
Filed under: uncultured bacterium
Lineage: Bacteria
Description: partial 16S ribosomal RNA
Rfam family: Bacterial small subunit ribosomal RNA
Source: RNAcentral
CCUACGGGAGACAGCAGUCGGGAAUAUUGCGCAAUGGAGGAAACUCUGACGCAGUGACGCCGCGUGCAGGAAGAAGGUUUUCGGAUUGUAAACUGCUUUAGACAGGGAAGAAAAAAGACAGUACCUGACUAAGAAGCCCCGGCUAACUACGUGCCAGCAGCCGCGGUAAUACGUAGGGGGCAAGCGUUAUCCGGAUUUACUGGGUGUAAAGGGAGCGUAGGCGGUUUAGCAAGUCAGAAGUGAAAGCCCGGGGCUCAACUCCGGGACUGCUUUUGAAACUGUUGAACUAGAUUGCAGGAGCGGUAAGUGGAAUUCCUAGUGUAGCGGUGAAAUGCGUAGAUAUUAGGAGGAACACCAGUGGCGAAGGCGGCUUACUGGACUGUAAAUGACGCUGAGGCUCGAAAGCGUGGGGAGCAAACAGGAUUAGAUACCCGGGUAGUC